UUCGCAAUGCCCGAAAGGGAGCCAGAACACAGGUGCUGCAUGGCUGUCGUCAGCUCGUGUCGUGAGAUGUUGCGUUAAGUCGCGCAACGAGCGCAACCCCUGUCCUUAGUUGCCAUCAGGUAAAGCUGGGCACUCUAGGGAGACCGCCGGCGUUAAGCCGGAGGAAGGCGGGGACGACGUCAAGUCAUCAUGGCCCCUAUGCCCAGGGCUGCACACGUGCUACAAUGGGACGGACAAAGCGUUGCCAGGCCGCAAGGCCGCGCUAAUCGCAAAAAUCGUCCCUCAGUUCGGAUUGUGGGCUGCAACCCGCCCACAUGAAGCUGGAAUCGCUAGUAAUCGCCGAUCAGCAACGCGGCGAUGAAUGUGUUCCUGAGCCUUGUACACACCGCCCGUCAAGCCACCAAAGGGGGGGGUACCCGAAGUCGCCGGUGCCGCAAGGCAGGCGCCGAAGGUAAAACUCCUGAUGGGCACUAAGUAGAGGGGUUUU
RNAcentral lists this ribosomal RNA (487 nucleotides) under uncultured bacterium. RNAcentral describes it as "bacterial SSU rRNA". It matches the Rfam family "Bacterial small subunit ribosomal RNA", at positions 1007 to 1500 of the family's 1533-position model. The record is from RNAcentral.